Long non-coding RNA from Chelonia mydas (Green sea turtle), 780 nucleotides. RefSeq lists it as uncharacterized. Lineage: Eukaryota; Metazoa; Chordata; Testudines; Cheloniidae. The transcript is spliced from 2 exons. The record is from RefSeq and is a predicted model, not a curated record.
CCGCUGCCCGGGCCCUUUCCCGCGGUGGCCACCCCGAGCGAGGGCGAAGCUGGGGGGAGAAGCCCCGGGAGAGGCCCCGAUCCCGCCUCCGCUGCGCCGCGCGGGCCAGUGGGCCCCGGCCGCGGCCGCCCGCCCCAGCGCGGGGCCCCCACGGGGGGAUGUUUAUUGCCAGAGAACCCAGCGCCCGCAAAUAAAACACAACCCCAAAACCACCCGCUGCGAACAGCCCCGGGCCGCAGCCCCGCAGCGCCCCCCAGCGUCUGUAUUUGGUUUAUUGCAUUUCACCGCCAGCUCCCACUGCCCCGCAGAGCCGGGUGUGGGCAGAGUUGCCACCUCUGCGGGACCAACAACGGGGGCAAUGCGGGAUGAUCCUUAGCCCACGAAUCCGGACAGCUGGCAGUGUGUCCUGAGCACCCUACAGAUCCCCUGGCACAGCUACGAUCCUGGGAAAGCCUGGACAGAGCCACAGUUAUCUCAACGUAGAAGGCAAUCUGGUUGGUCUGGCGUGACUUGCCCUUGGUGAAUCCAUGUUGACUGUUCCUGAUCACCUUCCUCUCCUCCAAGAGCUUCAAAAUGGUUUCCGUGAGGACCUGCUCCAUGAUUUUUCCAGGGACUGAGAUGAGGCUGACUAGUCUGUAGUUCCCCGGGUUCUCCUUCUUCGCCUUUUAAUAGAUGGGCACUAAUUUGCCUUUUUCCAAUCGUCCGGGACCUCCCCUGAUCACCACAUGUUUUCAAAGAUAGUGGCCUGUUGGAUCAUAUUAAAGUAGUUCUGUAUUAAAA